AGGGAGGGAAGAGAAAAUGCAAAUCGAAUUUCAUUGGCCUGUAGCCCCCUUAGAUCUCCAUGCUCCCAGAGGUGGUGACACACUUGUAUUCAGCGGCCAUCACCGGUCUUGCUUGUAAAAGUCCGAUUUCGAUGUGGGCACGCUUUCCUGAGUGCCGCGAGUCUCUGGAAUUACCCUAAACUUCCUCUUUGCUUUGCAGUGAUGGAGAAGUAGGAACACCCCACUGACAGGAAUGGUAGCCUCCCAUGCAGAAGCGGGAGUGUGCUCAGCCUCAUGUGAUGUGUCUAUAUUUCAUCCUCCAUAGUGAAAAAGGCAAACAGCCAUCAUCUUUCUGGGGCUGUGUGUGUAGGAACUACAUGGAUGAAAACAAGCUGUGUAGGGAUUCAAUGCACUCUACCUGCAAAAUGACAACAGUUGUGGCUUUUUGGAUCCUUUUGGGUCCAAACAAGGAGCAGAAUGUUAACUAAUUUCGUUUUCCCAGUUGGGAUACCACAACCUUAGCAUGUGGAUUUAUCUUGAAACCAGGAAGCCCUGACAUACAUUGCUGCCCAAACAAGAGGAAUCCCAGCGUUCUAUCCUAUAACGAACAACAAAAAAGCAUAUAUCCAGAAGAUAUCUAUCCUGAUGAUUGCAAAGUGCUUAAGCCUAGGCUCUGAGAAAAAGCACCAACUGCCUUCAAGUUCUUCUGGGUAUUCUGUUCUACGUUUUCUUCACAUCUCCUUUGACUGAAAAUUUCCAGUGCAUCUGUGUUUAUGGACUGAAUGUUUAUGUCCCCCCGCCCCCAGCCCAAAUUUGUAUGUCGAAGCCCUAGCCCCAACAUAACUGUAUUUGGAAAUAGGGUAGGACCCUGAUCCAGUAGGAUUCGUGUCCUUAUAAGAAGAGGCACCAUCAGAGCACUCUCCUGUCCCUCUCUCCCUGUCUCCCUCUCCCUCUCCCUAGCACAGGCAAGAAAAGAUCACACAAAGCAAGAUGGCAGCCACCUACAAGCCAAGAGAAGAGGCCGCAGAAUGAAACCUAUUUUGCCAACACCUUGAUCUGGGACUUCCAGCCUCUAGAACUGUGAGAAAAUAAGUUUCUGUUGUUUAAGCCAUCCAGUUUAUGACAAUUUCUUAUAGUAGCCCAAACAGAUUAAGACAGCCCCCCCCCCCCCCAGCAAUGUUUUCCCAGGAACAUGGCAACAAUUGCUGGUGCCCCUCCCCCCCUUAAGGACUGCUUGGUGUCCCCACACAUGGGUACAACUGGAGAGAUCUCGGCUCUCUAAGGGGCCCACGCCACCACAGCUUGAGGAGGAUGCAACACAGCCCAAGGCCCCAGAGGAUGACUGAGGACCAGAUACUAAGGGAAGCUUUUUUUCAGCCAUCAACCCCUAGAGGAAUAUGUGUGUGUGAGUGUGUAUGUGUAUGUGUGUGUGCGUGUAUGUCUGUUGAGGGGUAACUUUUUCAAAGGGUCCAUACUAGAAAUGUCCUCGAGCCCAGGGCUGCGUGGGACUUGUUCUCCACCCUGAAGUAUGCAACCAGAGUGUGAAUGUUGGCCUUAGAAGAUACCAGCUCAGUGAGGGCUGUAUCUGGGGAAGCUGUUCGAUUUCAUGGAAAGAGCAUUGGCUCUAGAGUCAGACAAAGCUGGGUUCCAAUUCAAGCUUUUUAGGGCAUGCAUCAAAAUAGUAUAAGCAAAGGCUGUAUUGGCUCAUGUCACUGAAAAAUCCAAGGAGUUGUUAUGCUUUCAGGCACAGCAACAUCAAGGCCCUCAAAAGAUGUUAUUGGAAAUCUGUGUUCUAUCUUUCCAUGCUAUUUCUCCAAUGGCUUCACUCUGGGGUCUUCCUCAGUAGCUAUAGACUCAAGUGAUCCUUAGUACUCAGGAUGGGUGGAGGAAGGAGAGAGUCUCUUUCCAAGGGGUACAACAAAGACUUGGUGACAUUGCUGAUUGGCCAAUUCUAAAUCACAUAUUCACCCCUGGGUGGGAUGGGGCUGGUGGGGACUCCCAAUGAAACCUGGAAGAGAUGAUACUGUUACUUAAGGAGGGAGUGAUGCAAGUCAGGCCAAAUCAACAGAUGUCUACAUAGACAUUAAAGGACUCUGUGAUUCUAAGCAAGUUGUUUAACCUCUUUGAUCCUCAAGUUCCCCUUUUAUAGAAUGGCUAUACGAGUACCUGCCACCAAGGAAGCUACACAAAGCUCAAGGCACAGAAUGGAGGCGUAAUAACUGUUAACUUUCUUCUUGCUUCCUUUUCCUGUUCCUGGCCUUCUCCUGGAGGCUGGGGAAUGUACCAGGUUUGCCUUGACUGGUAUUGAAGAUGUCAUGCUGUUUCAGGUUGGGGAUCCUUGAGCAGUAUGAAGACUUCAGAAUACACUCAAUGGAGUUCCCGUGCCAGGGGUCUGUUGCAUUUGGCAAUGGUGGCCUCCAGGGCACAGUGGACUCUGAGUUGGGCUCUGCUCUGGUUGGGCUCAGCCCUGGGACAUCCGGAAAGGCUGGCGGAGGCCUUGCAAAGGGCAAGUGACGUCUGCAGUUGUCUGGAAAGGAGAGCUUACAACUGCAGCAGCUGUGGGCUCAUGGGGAUGAGCCAGGGCUAAGAAGGAGGCAGGACUCCGAGUGCACCACGGAUUUUGGAACAUCCUAAGCCUGGGAAAAUGAAGUGGACCCUGGCUACUCCCAAUAGGAGCACUGGAAACAACCCAAAUGCAUAUCAAUAGCAGAUUAAACAAUCAUGCUAAUUCCAUACAAGGGGACUCUAUGGUGUUAAGAAAAGAGAGAAGCCGUUCUCCAUGUAUUGAUGUCGAAAGAUGUCCACUACUGAGAGCCAAGUUUAAAAAGAAAAAAGGCAAAGUAAAAACAGCAUUACGUAUGUUCUCAUUUCAAUUUAUAUGUACUAUAAAGAUCCAUAAUAGCAUGCACUGAAAAAAAGUAUCUGGAUGAAUAUAAACCAAGCAGUGUUUAUCUCUGAGGUUAUAGGGACUUUCACUGUUUUAUGGCAUGCACUUUGUAAUUUUUAUUACAGCCAUGUGUUACUUUUAUUAUCAGAAAUAACAACAAUGAUUCUUAAAAUGAGAAGAAAAAUAUUGAUCAGAAGAAAGUACUGCACACUCAUUCCUAGAAACAACUGACACCGGAGAUCUUGUGAUGUUAUUCUUGAAAAUCAAGGGAUUCUACUGAACAGGUUUGCACACCAGUGACUGGAUUCGGGAAAGUUGUUUUUGGUUUUUUUGGUUGUUUUUUUUGUUUGUUUGUUUGUUUUUUGGUUUUUGGGGUUUUUUUGCUUAUGUAGUGCAAUGCUGCUGCACAUGAUUAAAACAUAUUUUUUUCCAUGGGUUGGAGAAGUAGUAGCCUAAUAGCUUAUUUCCUAAGAUUUCCACUAGAAAAGCCCACAAGUUGUUUUAAGAUGCUUACAUGAACACAAAUUAGAAAGUGACAAGCCUUUCUUUAUUAUACAUUAGUGAGAAGGAGGAAGAGGGGCGUGAGGGAGAAGGAGGAAAGGGGGGGCGCAGAAAAGCAAUUGGAUGCUCUAUUCAGGAAAUGGUAUUCCUUUUUACCUCCAUCAGUGGAGAUGCAUUCUGCAAGCUUCUAGCUAGAAGAAGGUGCUUGUAGUUUUUUUCAGACCCUCUCUUUUCUAUUUAACUCUUCAGGCACCAAGUUUUCAUGAAUUUGCACACUUUUCUAAAACUUUGGGAUGACAGUGGAAACUAUUCUUUUCUUAUAGAAUGGUUUAUGGUGCCCUCUUUUGGAUUUCCAUUUAAAUUCCCAGGCUGGAGCAUGACCCCUGCCGCUCUGAAAUGAACCUAAGAAAUGUGACCAGAACUGGGUUUCCACACAGCUGGUUGCCUGUUUUGUUUGGUUUGGUAUAUGAGGAGUAGGGAUUCCAAUUCCCACUCGUGUCUGGCUAGCCCUGGGUCCUGGAAGGGACCAAGCUGGUGAUCCCUUCCAGCUUUCCCAUGUAUAGUGAGGAAUUGUAGGCUGGGGAUGAAAAGGUUGUCUCUGCGGCCGAGAACAGCCAGCAAAACUCCGCUCUCCCGUUAUUCCAGUUAGCUACCUGACUUCCGCUCUUCCCAUGGCUUUAUAAUGAAAAUUGUUCAAAUGAAGAUUUAUGACUUUAUUUUGGUGGGAUGUCUCAGGCGUUUGGUUUGAGGGAUGAAAUGCAUACUUAGCUUUCCACUCAUGCAUAGCCUAGCUAGUCUUUUCAUUACUGCAUUUGGCUCAGUCUUUGCCCAUCAAGCUCUGGCCUCCUUCCUAGGAUAAGUCAUGGCUUUGACUCCAGAGGCUGCCUGAGCCUCCUGCCCCUCUGAUGCUGCUUCCCUGGGCUGCCAGCGUUGGCCUGGAUCACAGGGCCAUUGUGUCAAUGUCCUUCAGUCUUCAACCUAGGAGAUGAAAUUUGAACUGCUCUUGGGGGCAGGAUGUCAGCUUCCUGGAAAAACAACAGACUCUGUCGCCUGGAACUGAGUGGCAACAUCCAAGCUGUGAGAAACAUUCUGAAAAUCGAAUGCUGUCUGUGGUCCUUAACACGGGUGGCCUGGUUCACCAGAGAUGGAACGGCUUUGCUUUGGGGGAAAAUUUUCCAGUCCCAACUGAACACAUUCUCAAAAUGCAGAGCAUUAUGGCCUCUUUGUUUUCUCUGCCUCGUGCAUGAAAGAAGAUACCUGCAAGCAAUUUCCUGUGCUGACAGAUCAGGAACGAAGUCUCUGAGCUCAAGGGCAAAUGGGAGAACUGCCUGCAUCAGGCUGGUCAUUGGGGAAGACUAAUGGCUACAAAGCACCAGCUGAAGAUAUCACCUGGUUAUUUAAAAACCUUUGUGUAGUACAAUGAGCCAAAUGGAAGUUCUAUGCAGAGGACAAGGAACUAUUCAUUUCACUCAGGUUUAACUUUUCAGAAGAGCCCUUUUCAGAAGAGGACCCCUCUAUUUUGAGAGCACUAAAUCCUCUUGGUGACUUUGGUAAAAGAGACAUGAAAUAACAGAGGAAGCAAAUGUGUUUCAGAUGGAAAUUAAUGGCUCUUGGAAUGGAAUGCCUGGUAAACAUCUGGUGUCCUUUUAUCUUGAAUGAAUGUCUGUCUCCCUUAGUUAAUAGAUUACACCUGUUGACCAACCAAACCUCUCCCUACAUCCAAAUGAAGGUGAAAACACUGAUGUAGAGGUCCCACCCCUAGAGAAAGAUCCUGAUAUAAUCUCUUGGAUUUGCCCUGGGCUUGGCGAAAGUUUUUAAAGUUCCCAGGUGAUUUUAAUAUGCAGCCAAGAUUGAGAACCCCAGUGUAAACAGAAGGAGACUUUGAUAGAUUGGGGGAUAUAAUUUAUUCAUGCAGCAAAAAUUAAAACAAGCUAACUAGCGAUAUGAAUUGUUUAUAAAUAUUUUGUCAUGUGCUUAAAACAUUUUUAAAUGUUUACAUUGUUUACAUUGGAUUUUUAAAUUAUUUUUAUCAGAUUUAGACUUUAUAUUUGAUUUAUCGAGCUCUUGUCAGUACUAUAAACACAUCAUGAGGCAGAUGUUCUCCUGUCCGUUGUGUCAGUGAUGAGCAACUAUUAACAAACAAAAAUAAGAUGAGUCUACAUAUUGCGUGCCGUCCUUUCAGACUUUUCCCCAGGGGACACCCCUAUAGUGGAUUACCUCUGAUUGAGGACAAUCUGGGGUGGCCACUUGACACAUUAUGUUUUCUAUUUUAUAACUAGUUUAUAUAGUCAUUUUUAAAAAAGAAUUAGAUAAAUAUAACUGGGUGACUGGCUGAGAGUCUGUCUUUGCAUGGUAGGAGGCAAUUUAACUUAUAUUAGGAGAAAUAUGGUUCUGGAAAAACCUGUUAAGUAGUCUGUGCUAGUCAAAGGCUCCUUGAAUUAAAGAAUGUCUGAACUGUGUUGCCAAUAAACCAUCCUCUUGUAGACAAUGCUAUGCACUGAUACUUGCAACUGUCUUUACAACUUUGGUUUAAUGACUAUUAAGGCAUGACCACAAAACAAACAGGAAAAAGUAAUGCUGAAAAAGUAAUGCAGGAAUACCAUAGUUCCAACCGAAUGCAAACACAUAGAUCCAUAAUCACCUCCCACAUAACCAACUAUGCCUGAAAACUCUUAAAUCUGUACAAGAUGUGUUUAUUUAAGACCUUUACUGGCUACCCUUGCAUCCAGCGAUUAAAUACUAGGAAUCUAUGAUUGA
Molecule: long non-coding RNA, 6124 nt
Organism: Leopardus geoffroyi (Geoffroy's cat)
Lineage: Eukaryota; Metazoa; Chordata; Mammalia; Carnivora; Felidae
Exons: 6
Source: RefSeq, a predicted model, not a curated record